UACGUAGGGUGCAAGCGUUAUCCGGAAUUAUUGGGCGUAAAGAGCUCGUAGGCGGUUUGUCGCGUCUGCUGUGAAAACCUGAGGCUCAACCUCAGGCCUGCAGUCGAUACGGGCGGACUUGAGUACUGCAGGGGAGACUGGAAUCCUGGUGUAGCGGUGAAAUGCGCAGAUAUCAGGAGGAACACCGGUGGCGAAGGCGGGGUCUCUGGGCAGUAACUGACGCUGGAGGAGCGAAAGCGUGGGGAGCGAACAGGG
RNAcentral lists this ribosomal RNA (255 nucleotides) under uncultured bacterium. Its description in RNAcentral is "partial 16S ribosomal RNA". It matches the Rfam family "Bacterial small subunit ribosomal RNA", at positions 524 to 777 of the family's 1533-position model. The record is from RNAcentral.